This 651-nucleotide long non-coding RNA is filed under the name Carica papaya (papaya). RNAcentral's name for it is "long non-coding RNA (CPAP_LNC014018)". The record is from RNAcentral. Lineage: Eukaryota; Viridiplantae; Streptophyta; Magnoliopsida; Brassicales; Caricaceae.
ACAGAGGUAAGGAAAUUAAAAUUAAAAAGAAAACUUACCACCGAGAGGGAGAGGAACUCCUUCAACCGAUCAGCAUUCAGAGGCAUAUCGUUGCUCCUGAUUUGACAUCACUUAUCUUCCCGAUUGUGGCCAGAACUCAAGCCACCUGGUGAGCUACUAUGCUGAUCGGCCUGGUGUCAAAAGAAGCGGCCAUCUUCCUCUGCUGUGUCAGCCAUUCAGCACAUCAACGGCUGUGAUGUUGUGCAUGUGUUUGGAUGGCUGAGAUGCUGAGAUGCUGAGUCGAUUCAGAUAAAAGGCUCCACUUCUCUUUAAAGUUUCGUUUUGCUUUAAUCCAGAACGAAAACACCGGCAAAAGAGUGUAUUAGGUGUGAAGUAGAAAUCCAAAACUGCAACCAGAAAGGUUACAGAGCACCAGAACAGAACGUGUGUUCUGUGUGCGUGUCCGAGGAGGAAAAUUCUUCUUCUUGGUGAGGUAAGCCGUUUCUUAUUCUUUUAAAUUAUUUAUUUUAGUUCUUUGAUGUCCUAAGGUUACUCUUGUUUAGGAAUUCCAGCUUCCAAAUUAUUGUACCUAGCUUCAGAAACUAAAACAGAAAUCACCACACCUUAACGGCGACUCUACUCGGGUAAGUGGUUAAUCUUCAUUUUGACUCC